ACUCAAAGGAAUAGACGGGGGCCCGCACAAGCGGUGGAUGAUGUGGUUUAAUUCGAUGCAACGCGUAAAACCUUACCUACCCUUGACAUGCUAGGAAGUCCGAUGAAAGUUGGAUGUGCCCGAAAGGGAACCUAGACACAGGUGCUGCAUGGCUGUCGUCAGCUCGUGUCGUGAGAUGUUGGGUUAAGUCCCGCAACGAGCGCAACCCUUGCCAUUAGUUGCUACAUUCAGUUGAGCACUCUAAUGGGACUGCCGGUGACAAACCGGAGGAAGGUGGGGAUGACGUCAAGUCCUCAUGGCCCUUAUGGGUAGGGCUACACACGUCAUACAAUGGUCGGUACAGAGGGUCGCCAACCCGCGAGGGGGAGCCAAUCUCAGAAAGCCGAUCGUAGUCCGGAUUGCAGUCUGCAACUCGACUGCAUGAAGUCGGAAUCGCUAGUAAUCGCGGAUCAGCAUGUCGCGGUGAAUACGUUCCCGGGCCUUGCACACACCGCCCGU
Molecule: ribosomal RNA, 498 nt
Filed under: uncultured bacterium
Lineage: Bacteria
Description: partial 16S ribosomal RNA
Rfam family: Bacterial small subunit ribosomal RNA
Source: RNAcentral